RNAcentral lists this long non-coding RNA (987 nucleotides) under Canis lupus familiaris (dog). RNAcentral's name for it is "lncRNA (ENSCAFG00030000183.1)". Lineage: Eukaryota; Metazoa; Chordata; Mammalia; Carnivora; Canidae. The record is from RNAcentral.
AGGAGAGGGGCUUGGCUGGGGUUGGACGUCAGGGACCGCAGGUGGGAGGUUGGAGGGUGUGUUACCUGGCAUCCAGCUGUGAGGCAGGCCCCGCCCAGGUGAGCACAGAGCAGGGGCAGGGGAACAGGUGGCGGAUCCCCAGGCAGGGGCCCAGGCCAGCCCCAGGAGAAGUAGUUGGGUGGGGACACCGCGUCCUGAGCAGGGCACCUGAGCCUCAGAGCUGGUAGGACACAGUCCUCCCUGCCUGGGGCGGUUCAAGGACAGGGUGCAGUGUCACCUGCUGAGAAUGGAGCUGCCUGGGUCAGGUGGGUGCAGCCCGGUGCCCUGCACGUGCCCCCAACAGCCCUCCGCGUUUGCUGAGUGGGCACUGACAGGUGCUAACAAAAGGUGUCGGGUGUCCAUACCCUGGAGCUCCCUAACAAAGCAAAGUGUGCUUUCUCUUUCUAGGACUCCAACAUGUGUACACACACAUGUACCAGGCUGACCCUCCCCUCUUGUAGGUUCCAGGAGAACAACAUGAGACGGAUAGAGGGCAAACUGGACACCUUGUGUGACUUUGUUCAGUGCUAUAAUCAGAUGCCGUUGCCGUGGUAUCAGCCCAGGAGCAAGGUGAGAGGGCCCAGGGGUGCUCCCACGGGCAGGGGCAUAUUUGCUGUUUGCCCGUGACAGCGGCACGAUGGGUCUGUGGCUCGGAGCCUGUGUCUGGGCAUCUGCCGACACAGGAGAGGUGGUGCCCGUGAGCCGUCCAGGCCAGUCCUGGGCUCUGUAUCUGCAUUUUCCUGCUGGUCAUCCCCAUGGCAACAGGCGCUUUCUUAGGGGUGGUGAGGCCCAGAGCCUCCCAUUUACGUCAGAGAAGCCCAAGAGGGCAUCUGGCCAGUGAGCUCUCCUGGCCCCCAUUGGCGUCCCUCUGGUGAGCGCCCCCUGCCCGGGAUCUGCUGGCUGUUCCCACCCGAGACCCCCUGGGCGGCUCACCCCACCGGGCCUCCU